Molecule: long non-coding RNA, 1774 nt
Filed under: Capsicum annuum
Lineage: Eukaryota; Viridiplantae; Streptophyta; Magnoliopsida; Solanales; Solanaceae
Description: long non-coding RNA (CANN_LNC007738)
Source: RNAcentral
UCCAUUCUAGUUUGCGUUGGUCCACCAACAUCCCCAUCACCUUGUGUAAUAUUUAACUCUCUUUUGUGAUCUUCAGCUAUAUGUCUCAUUAACGUACCCGUACCCCCUUGCUUGCCUCCAUUUCUAUGCUUAUAUAUUUGUUGACAAAUAUUGCAUUGCACCUCAUUAUCUGAUAUACGUUCAAAAAAUUGCCAUGCAACACUAAUUUUUUUACGAGAUCUUGGGGAACUAGGAGGACGGGGAGGGAGAUUAACCGAUUCAGAUCUAACAUUAGUAUUUCCUACUGUGGGUGUCUCAGCAAUAUUUUCAUCAUCUUCGUCUAAAUUAACUGCAUCUACUUCAUUUUCUUCUUCUAUACCAUAAUUUUCCUAAACUUCUACAUAAUCCAUAUCGCGAGCUCCUACACCUAUUUUUUCCUCAAAAGGUGUACCAAGCGGAACCGGAGGCGAAUGCACACGGGUAUAUCUACUACUUGAACUACCUCUAGUAAUUCGCUUUUUACUACCACUACCGCUUCCGGGACAAAAAAUUAUAACAUCUUUAGUAGCGAGGUUUCUUAAUUUAUCCAUAAUAUAAAUUAAAUUAAACUAAAAUAUUCAGAAUACAUAAAUAUAAUAAAAUUAAAUAUUAAACAACUAAUACAAUAAUAAAAAUUAAACGUAAGAGAUGGAACGACAAUACCAAAUUUUGAAAGUAUCCGAAGGUUGCGACUUUGGAAACUUCCACUCGUACUUUGUAAACAAAAAUUAAAAACUUAAAGUGAACACUUUAAGAAAUUAAAUAUAUUGAAUAUUUGAGAAUUGAGAAUUGAGAUUUGAGAGAGAAUGAGAUUUUAGAAAGUGAAAAAUUGUGUGAAAAAUGAUUUGAAAUUGUAGGGUAUUUACAGAAUUUUUUUUGGGAUUAAAAAAUAAUUUUUAAUGUAAUUUUUUUUUUUUUUAAUAAAUGGGCCCAAACUAGCCGUUUGGACCCAAAAACGGCUAUAUAGCCGUUGGGCCAAAAACUAGUUGGGCCCAAAAUCCAAUUUUUAUUGUUAUUUUUAAAAAAAAAAAGGUAACCGGGCCGGGCCGGGCCAGGUCGGUUAACCCAUGGACCUGGACCGAGCUUGAUCCGGGCCGAAUUAACCGAAAUUCUAAAGCCCUUGGGCUUAUCGGGCCGGGUUAAAUCGGGCCAGUUUAUUAUGUGGGCCGGUUUUUGACACCCAUAGAGUAGUUGAAGAAACUACUAACUCUAACUAUCUAACUGCACUGAUCGGGGUCGAUCUCACUGACAAAGUUAAUGUCUGUCCAAGUUGAGAGAAUCAGAGUUCCGUUUAUUCACUUAAGGAGAUAAGUAUAUUCACACUAUGUUCCAGGGACGUCAUCUGGAUGAAACUAAAAAAUUUGUCAAUAAAAUUUCAAAACAGAGCAUAGACUCAAUUAAGAACUUAAGACAAAAGUAAUAGCAAUCAGAAAAUUCCAUACCUUGUAAAGCUACCAAAGUAGCAGCAAAUUCCAUACCUAAAAUUGGAAGAGAAGGAAAGAAAUCCCAAAGCAAAAUGACAUCAUUGUAUUGAAUAUCUUACAUUAAUCAGCGAGAUUACAUUUAAAUAAUCGAGUACAUAGAAUAUCUCUUCACAUGCAACAACGCCGAUUGGUAAAGGAUGCAUCUUUUGUUUGGGGUCUGGUGUUUAGUGUUUGUCGUUUGGGGUAUUUAUUUUUCUCCAAAAAUUAGGUCUCUUGGAGGGGUUUGUCUUUUUAAUUUUUUUUAAAAAAUAAUUUAGUGAUUUUUGUAAGUU